Molecule: ribosomal RNA, 269 nt
Filed under: uncultured Megasphaera sp.
Lineage: Bacteria; Bacillati; Bacillota; Negativicutes; Veillonellales; Veillonellaceae
Description: partial 16S ribosomal RNA
Rfam family: Bacterial small subunit ribosomal RNA
Source: RNAcentral
CGGGUGAGUAACGCGUAAACAACCUGCCCUUCGGAUGGGGAUAACAGCCGGAAACGGCUGCUAAUACCGAAUACGAUCUUUUCGUCGCAUGACGGAAAGAAGAAAGGAUGGCCUCUAUACAAAGCUAUCGCCGAAGGAGGGGUUUGCGUCUGAUUAGCCAGUUGGUGGGGUAAAAGCCUACCAAAGCGAAGAUCAGUAGCCGAGUUGAGAGACUGACCGGCCACAUUGGGACUGAGACACGGCCCAGACUCCUACGGGAGGCAGCAGCC